AGAAAAAUAAGAAAAAUUUAAAAAAGGAAAUAUUUUAAUAAAAACGAGAAUUCGAGUAAACAACGGGAAGAAUCGUUAAGAAGGUCAAGCAGACAUGAAGUUCCGAUGUCCGAGAAGGUGCAAACCCACACGUAGCACUGCGGCAAUCUUGUUGUUUCUUACUGAUAACAAGAGAAAGUCCACUCCGACGGAAAAAAUAACAACUUUAUCACAAUUUCAUGUCAAUACGGAGUCUGGAAGAACAAAGCUAAGCCAAUGGGGGUCAUUCCAAAAUUCCCGAUUGAAUACGCCCGCUAAUGAUAAGAGAUUUCUCACCCAUGUUACUGAUAGCAGAAAACAGCAAUAAAAGGUAAAAAAAAUUUUAGAAGAGCAAGCCAGAAGGGUCAGGCAGUCAGUUCAAUUAGUUAGAAGAAUCAAUUAGUACAAGGGUCACCUACGGACCAGACGUCUGGGAGUCUGCUCUCAGACUCUGGACAGAAGACAGGAAAAAUGUAGUAAAGAUGAUUCCGU
RNAcentral lists this long non-coding RNA (510 nucleotides) under Androctonus crassicauda. Lineage: Eukaryota; Metazoa; Arthropoda; Arachnida; Scorpiones; Buthidae. The record is from RNAcentral.